AACGCGAAGAACCUUACCAAGGCUUGACAUAUACAGGAAUACGGCAGAGAUGUUGUAGCCGCAAGGUCUGUAUACAGGUGGUGCAUGGUUGUCGUCAGCUCGUGUCGUGAGAUGUUGGGUUAAGUCCCGCAACGAGCGCAACCCUUGCCAUUAGUUGCUACGAAAGGGCACUCUAAUGGGACUGCCGGUGACAAACCGGAGGAAGGUGGGGAUGACGUCAAGUCCUCAUGGCCCUUAUAGGUAGGGCUUCACACGUCAUACAAUGGUCGGUACAGAGGGUUGCCAACCCGCGAGGGGGAGCCAAUCCCAGAAAGCCGAUCGUAGUCCGGAUCGUAGUCUGCAACUCGACUACGUGAAGUCGGAAUCGCUAGUAAUCGCGGAUCAGAAUGCCGCGGUGAAUACGUUCCCGGGUCUUGUACACACCG
Molecule: ribosomal RNA, 425 nt
Filed under: uncultured bacterium
Lineage: Bacteria
Description: bacterial SSU rRNA
Rfam family: Bacterial small subunit ribosomal RNA
Source: RNAcentral